RNAcentral lists this ribosomal RNA (478 nucleotides) under uncultured Bacteroidota bacterium. Its description in RNAcentral is "bacterial SSU rRNA". It matches the Rfam family "Bacterial small subunit ribosomal RNA", at positions 9 to 482 of the family's 1533-position model. The record is from RNAcentral. Lineage: Bacteria; Pseudomonadati; Bacteroidota.
GAGUUUGAUCCUGGCUCAGGAUGAACGCUAGCGGCAGGCCUAACACAUGCAAGUCGAACGGUAAGGCCCAGCUUGCUGGGUACACGAGUGGCGCACGGGUGAGUAACGCGUAUGCAACCUGCCUCGAACAGGGGGAUAGCCCCGAGAAAUUGGGAUUAAUACCCCAUAACGCAUCGGAGCCGCAUGGCUCUGUUGCUAAAGCCCCGGCGGUUCGAGAUGGGCAUGCGUGGCAUUAGCUAGUUGGUGGGGUAACGGCUCACCAAGGCGUCGAUGCCUAGGGGUUCUGAGAGGAUUAUCCCCCACACUGGUACUGAGACACGGACCAGACUCCUACGGGAGGCAGCAGUGAGGAAUAUUGGUCAAUGGGUGAGAGCCUGAACCAGCCAUGCCGCGUGCAGGAUUGACGGCCCUAUGGGUUGUAAACUGCUUUUCCUGGGAAAGAACACCCCCGACCGUGUCGGUGAUUGACGGUACCCGG